AGCUUUGCGCAGUGGCAGUAUCGUUGCCAAUGAGGUUUAUCCGAGGCGCGAUUAUUGCUAAUUGAAAACUGAGCAUAAACAGAAUGAGCUAAAAUAACCAUGUUAAUAUUUAACUACCACGAAUAUGUACAACUCUGGUACAUCUAAGUUUCUACUGGUCAAAAUAUUAACAUCAUUUAUAAAAGAAG
Molecule: small nuclear RNA, 188 nt
Filed under: Marmota monax (woodchuck)
Lineage: Eukaryota; Metazoa; Chordata; Mammalia; Rodentia; Sciuridae
Rfam family: U4 spliceosomal RNA (bases 1-128)
About the family: U4 small nuclear RNA (U4 snRNA) is a component of the major U2-dependent spliceosome. The structure of U4 snRNA from yeast and human has been reported.
Source: RNAcentral